RNAcentral lists this long non-coding RNA (685 nucleotides) under Capsicum annuum. RNAcentral describes it as "long non-coding RNA (CANN_LNC013659)". Lineage: Eukaryota; Viridiplantae; Streptophyta; Magnoliopsida; Solanales; Solanaceae. The record is from RNAcentral.
ACAUUCUCUCUUCCCCUUCCCCUUUACCCAACCUCCAUUUUCAAUUUCUAUCUUCUCUAAAGCUCUAAUAUCUUUCAUCGUCCACUUCAAGUAAUUUCUCUUCAUCUUCCGAGUAAUUUGUGCUCCAUAUUGAUGAGUUUUUUUUAAUUUUUUUUUCAGUUUUGGUUUGUGGUGAUUGAGUUGAUUUUGGAGGAAAAAAUUUAAUUUUUUAAAAAACGGGGUUGAUUUUACUAAAUUUUUUUUAUUUUUAAGUUGGUAUUUAUUUGAUUGUUGGUGGAUAUUUGAUGGAUUAUGAUUUUCCUUACCGAUUGUAUGGUGAAAAGUUUUUGUGAAUUUGAUUGCUAAUGUGGCAAGAAAUUCGGGUUUUCUUCAAAUUCUUCGUUAAUGUAAUGGUGUUUUAGAUGCAUGUUCUUGUGGGGAUGGUUUCAUCAUGCAUUUUUGUUGUUCUUUUAAUAGAUCAUUCGACUGAUUAGGUAUUUGUUUGAUUUGGAUGGAAAAUUUAUUUUAUUUUUUUUAAAUGGGGCUUGAUUUUACUGAAAAUCUGUAUUUUUAAGUUGAUAUUUUUUUGAUUUUGAUGGAUUAUGACUGUCCUUGCCGAUUAUAUGGUGAUUUUCUUUUGAAUUUCACCGGUUAGUGUGUUAGAAAUCUGGACAAGGAAGAGAAGUUCAUUUAGGAUCCUAGACUU